RNAcentral lists this ribosomal RNA (253 nucleotides) under uncultured bacterium. Its description in RNAcentral is "partial 16S ribosomal RNA". It matches the Rfam family "Bacterial small subunit ribosomal RNA", at positions 524 to 776 of the family's 1533-position model. The record is from RNAcentral.
UACGUAGGGGGCAAGCGUUGUCCGGAUUUAUUGGGCGUAAAGAGCGUGUAGGCGGCUGGGUAGGUCCGUUGUGAAAACUCGAGGCUCAACCUCGAGACGCCGAUGGAAACCCUCUGGCUAGAGUCCGGAAGAGGAGAGUGGAAUUCCUGGUGUAGCGGUGAAAUGCGCAGAUAUCAGGAAGAACACCCAUUGCGAAGGCAGCUUACUACGGGAUUAUUGACACUGAUGCACGAAAGCGUGGGGAUCAAACAGG